CAGACACUCCACUGUCGUACAUCCACGCGAGAAUCCUGACACUGAAUCGCUCUCUCCCUCCAAGAUAUAUUUCUCUAGCACGCAGGUUUAAUAUCAGGAAAUUAAGUAUUGUGUUAUAUUACGUCAUUCAGCCGUGUGGGUCUGAGUCUUCAAACCUUUCAACGUCGUGGCUGUUUCUACAGUUAACGUCACAGAGUCAGCGGGAGGGAGUCCUGUUGGAACGAAGCGUCUGACUGUUUUUUCUAAGAAAACAGAUGGAGAGUAAACCCUAGCACACCGACUUGUUGAUUCUGGAACCCGAUGUGAGACGCUGGCCCCAAAUGACCUCGGGGACUUUCAGAGAAUCAAAAUAAGCCAACUGAGACAUGAUGGUAAAUUGUGCGCCCGCCUCCUUACAAAUCGCAGCAGAGCAGACAGGUGUCGAAGCUGAUCUGGACCAGUGAGAGAGGGAAGAAGAGAAGAAGUGAACCUUUCAGAAUUCGGCUCACAAAAGCAUGCCCAUUGUUGGAGAAGAAACAGAUCGUGAGGGACAGUCAUUAAUAUUUCCCAUAAGGAAUAACCACUCCUCUGUUUUAAAUGCCUGUGACGAGAUGUGAAUGGAGAUAAUUGACUGAACCCCAAAUCUCCCCCCUGGAACCAAUAAUAAUAAUUUGCCUCCAGCUGGUUCAGAGGGUCUUUGGACUUGGCUCUUCCACCCAAAUAAGUUACACUGAGAGGCCG
This 720-nucleotide long non-coding RNA is filed under the name Equus caballus (horse). RNAcentral describes it as "lncRNA (ENSECAG00000044935.1)". The record is from RNAcentral. Lineage: Eukaryota; Metazoa; Chordata; Mammalia; Perissodactyla; Equidae.